GUACAGAGAAAUUUUUACAGCCGAAGUUGCUCCCUUGAAUUCUACACACGAUCAUCCUCAGAAAUCCUGUCAUGUAAUGUGCGCAUGCCGGAGUCUUUUCAAAUCGGGGCGAUCUGAAGAGACUUUUCAAAAUUUCCAUCGGAGCAUUACUCUAGGUACGGUGCAAUAAUGGCCCUAUCAGCUGUCAGCCACUUUUGGCUGCCUGCUGUGGUGAGUGGGACACGUGACGAACAUGGGUCGG
RNAcentral lists this long non-coding RNA (241 nucleotides) under Elaeis guineensis (African oil palm). Its description in RNAcentral is "long non-coding RNA (EGUI_LNC060165)". The record is from RNAcentral. Lineage: Eukaryota; Viridiplantae; Streptophyta; Magnoliopsida; Arecales; Arecaceae.